This 1348-nucleotide ribosomal RNA is filed under the name metagenome. RNAcentral's name for it is "bacterial LSU rRNA". It matches the Rfam family "Bacterial large subunit ribosomal RNA", at positions 1564 to 2925 of the family's 2925-position model. The record is from RNAcentral.
UGAGUGCGAGCUGCUACGGCAGCGAAGUUGGUGAUGUCAUGCUUCCAAGAAAAGCCCUAUACCCGUUAAGGCAUCAUGGCCUGUACCCGAAACCGACACAGGUGGGGUGGUAGAGAAUACCGAGGGGCGCGAGGUAACUCUCUCUAAGGAACUCGGCAAAAUGGCCCCGUAACUUCGGGAGAAGGGGUGCCACCGCAAGGUGGUCGCAGUGAAGAGGCCCAGGCGACUGUUUACCAAAAACACAGGUCUCCGCUAAGUCGCAAGACGAUGUAUGGGGGCUGACGCCUGCCCAGUGCCGGAAGGUUAAGGAAGCUGGUCAGCGCAAGCGAAGCUAGCGACUGAAGCCCCGGUGAACGGCGGCCGUAACAAUAACGGUCCUAAGGUAGCGAAAUUCCUUGUCGGGUAAGUUCCGACCCGCACGAAGGGCGUAACGAUCUGGGCGCUGUCUCGGAGAGAGGCUCGGCGAAAUAGAAUUGUCUGUGAAGAUGCGGACUACGUGCACCCGGACAGAAAGACCCUAUGAAGCUUUACUGUAGCUUGGUAUUGUGCCCGGGCUCGCAAUGCGCAGGAUAGGUGGGAGGCUUUGAUCAUCGGCUUGCGGGUCGAUGUGAGCCAACGGUGAGAUACCACUCUUUGCGAGCUAGGGCUCUAACGGCCACCCGUCAUCCGGGGGCCGGACAGUACCUGGUGGGCAGUUUGACUGGGGCGGUCGCCUCCUAAAAGGUAACGGAGGCGCGCAAAGGUUUGCUCAGGCUGGUUGGAAAUCAGCCGACGAGUGUAAAAGCAGAAGCAAGCUUGACUGUGAGACCAACAAGUCGAACAGGGAGGAAACUCGGCUUUAGUGAUCCGACGGUUCUGAGUGGAAGGGCCGUCGCUCAACGGAUAAAAGUUACUCUAGGAUAACAGGCUGAGCUCCCCCAAGAGUUCUCAUCGACGGGGAGGUUUGGCACCUCGAUGUCGGCUCAUCGCAACCUGGGGCUGAAGUCGGUCCCAAGGGUUGGGCUGUUCGCCCAUUAAAGCGGUACGCGAGCUGGGUUCAGAACGUCGUGAGACAGUUCGGUCCAUAUCCGGUGCACGCGCAGGAAUAUUGAGAGGAUUUCUCCCUAGUACGAGAGGACCGGGAGGAACGCACCUCUGGUGUACCAGUUAUCGUGCCAACGGUAAACGCUGGGUAGCCAUGUGCGGAGUGGAUAACCGCUGAAAGCAUCUGAGUGGGAAGCCCACCUCAAGAUGAGUAUUCCCAUGGCGUAAGCCAGUAAGGUCACGGGAAGAACACCCGUUGAUAGGCUCUAUGUGGAAGCGCAGUAAUGCGUGAAGCAGAGGAGUACUAAUAGACCGAGGGCUUGAU